Molecule: ribosomal RNA, 628 nt
Filed under: Nostoc sp. BACA0059
Lineage: Bacteria; Bacillati; Cyanobacteriota; Cyanophyceae; Nostocales; Nostocaceae
Description: bacterial SSU rRNA
Rfam family: Bacterial small subunit ribosomal RNA
Source: RNAcentral
UGAGAAUCUACAUUCAGGUCUGGGACAACCACUGGAAACGGUGGCUAAUACCGGAUGUGCCGGGAGGUGAAAGAUUUAUUGCCUGAAAAUGAGCUCGCGUCUGAUUAGCUAGUUGGUGUGGUAAGAGCGCACCAAGGCGACGAUCAGUAGCUGGUCUGAGAGGAUGACCAGCCACACUGGGACUGAGACACGGCCCAGACUCCUACGGGAGGCAGCAGUGGGGAAUUUUCCGCAAUGGGCGAAAGCCUGACGGAGCAAUACCGCGUGAGGGAGGAAGGCUCUUGGGUCGUAAACCUCUUUUCUCAAGGAAUAAGAAAGUGAAGGUACUUGAGGAAUAAGCAUCGGCUAACUCCGUGCCAGCAGCCGCGGUAAUACGGAGGAUGCAAGCGUUAUCCGGAAUGAUUGGGCGUAAAGGGUCCGCAGGUGGCAUUGAAAGUCUGCUGUUAAAGAGUUUGGCUCAACCAGAUAAAAGCAGUGGAAACUACAAAGCUAGAGUGCGUUCGGGGCAGAAGGAAUUCCUGGUGUAGCGGUGAAAUGCGUAGAGAUCAGGAAGAACACCGGUGGCGAAAGCGUUCUGCUAGGCCUGCACUGACACUGAGGGACGAAAGCUAGGGGAGCGAAUGGGAUU